GCCGCCGUAGCUCAGCCGGCAGAGCGCCGGGCUCAUACGGCUUUAUAGAACCGGGGUCGCCUGAGAAACCCGGAGGUCGCGGGUUCGAAUCCCGCCGGCGGCA
Molecule: transfer RNA, 103 nt
Filed under: Desulfurococcaceae archaeon AG1
Lineage: Archaea; Thermoproteati; Thermoproteota; Thermoprotei; Desulfurococcales; Desulfurococcaceae
Rfam family: tRNA
About the family: Transfer RNA (tRNA) molecules are approximately 80 nucleotides in length. Their secondary structure includes four short double-helical elements and three loops (D, anti-codon, and T loops). Further hydrogen bonds mediate the characteristic L-shaped molecular structure. tRNAs have two regions of fundamental functional importance: the anti-codon, which is responsible for specific mRNA codon recognition, and the 3' end, to which the tRNAs corresponding amino acid is attached (by aminoacyl-tRNA synthetases). tRNAs cope with the degeneracy of the genetic code in two manners: having more than one tRNA (with a specific anti-codon) for a particular amino acid; and 'wobble' base-pairing, i.e. permitting non-standard base-pairing at the 3rd anti-codon position.
Source: Rfam by way of RNAcentral